GCAGCGAAAUGCGAUAAGUAAUGUGAAUUGCAGAAUUCAGUGAAUCAUCGAAUCUUUGAACGCACAUUGCGCCCUCUGGUAUUCCGGGGGGCAUGCCUGUUCGAGCGUCAUUACAACCCUCAAGCUUUGCUUGGUAUUGGACAUUGCCAGUUUCUGGCAGGUCUUAAAAUCAGUGGCGGUGCCAUUUGGCUUCAAGCGUAGUAAUUCUUCUCGCUUUGGAGAUCCAAGUGGUUACUUGCCAAUAACCCCCAAUUUUCAGGUUGACCUCG
RNAcentral lists this unclassified non-coding RNA (269 nucleotides) under uncultured fungus. RNAcentral's name for it is "sequence contains 5.8S rRNA gene, ITS2". The stretch from base 1 to 110 matches the Rfam family "5.8S ribosomal RNA", at positions 45 to 154 of the family's 154-position model. Lineage: Eukaryota; Fungi. The record is from RNAcentral.